This 73-nucleotide transfer RNA is filed under the name Paramuricea clavata. It matches the Rfam family "tRNA". Rfam says of the family: Transfer RNA (tRNA) molecules are approximately 80 nucleotides in length. Their secondary structure includes four short double-helical elements and three loops (D, anti-codon, and T loops). Lineage: Eukaryota; Metazoa; Cnidaria; Anthozoa; Malacalcyonacea; Plexauridae. The record is from Rfam by way of RNAcentral.
GACCUCAUAGCUCAGUUGGCAGAGCGUUGGGCUAGUAUUCCAAAGGUCGUAGGUUCGAUUCCCACCGUGGCCA